UUAUCGGAGAGUUUGAUCCUGGCUCAGGACGAACGCUGGCGGCGUGCCUAAUACAUGCAAGUCGAGCGGAUUGAUGGGAGCUUGCUCCCUGAUAUCAGCGGCGGACGGGUGAGUAACACGUGGGUAACCUGCCUGUAAGACUGGGAUAACUCCGGGAAACCGGGGCU
RNAcentral lists this non-coding RNA (167 nucleotides) under Rossellomorea vietnamensis. RNAcentral's name for it is "Bacillus vietnamensis Bacterial small subunit ribosomal RNA". It matches the Rfam family "Bacterial small subunit ribosomal RNA", at positions 1 to 164 of the family's 1533-position model. The record is from Rfam by way of RNAcentral. Lineage: Bacteria; Bacillati; Bacillota; Bacilli; Caryophanales; Bacillaceae.